This 1351-nucleotide ribosomal RNA is filed under the name uncultured bacterium. Its description in RNAcentral is "partial 16S ribosomal RNA". It matches the Rfam family "Bacterial small subunit ribosomal RNA", at positions 28 to 1381 of the family's 1533-position model. The record is from RNAcentral.
GACGAACGCUGGCGGCGUGCUUAACACAUGCAAGUCGAACGGAAAGGCCCUGCUUUUGUGGGGUGCUCGAGUGGCGAACGGGUGAGUAACACGUGAGUAACCUGCCCUUGACUUUGGGAUAACUUCAGGAAACUGGGGCUAAUACCGGAUAGGAGCUCCUGCUGCAUGGUGGGGGUUGGAAAGUUUCGGCGGUUGGGGAUGGACUCGCGGCUUAUCAGCUUGUUGGUGGGGUAGUGGCUUACCAAGGCUUUGACGGGUAGCCGGCCUGAGAGGGUGACCGGCCACAUUGGGACUGAGAUACGGCCCAGACUCCUACGGGAGGCAGCAGUGGGGAAUAUUGCACAAUGGGCGGAAGCCUGAUGCAGCAACGCCGCGUGCGGGAUGACGGCCUUCGGGUUGUAAACCGCUUUCGCCUGUGACGAAGCGUGAGUGACGGUAAUGGGUAAAGAAGCACCGGCUAACUACGUGCCAGCAGCCGCGGUGAUACGUAGGGUGCGAGCGUUGUCCGGAUUUAUUGGGCGUAAAGGGCUCGUAGGUGGUUGAUCGCGUCGGAAGUGUAAUCUUGGGGCUUAACCCUGAGCGUGCUUUCGAUACGGGUUGACUUGAGGAAGGUAGGGGAGAAUGGAAUUCCUGGUGGAGCGGUGGAAUGCGCAGAUAUCAGGAGGAACACCAGUGGCGAAGGCGGUUCUCUGGGCCUUUCCUGACGCUGAGGAGCGAAAGCGUGGGGAGCGAACAGGCUUAGAUACCCUGGUAGUCCACGCUGUAAACGGUGGGUACUAGGUGUGGGGUCCAUUCCACGGGUUCCGUGCCGUAGCUAACGCUUUAAGUACCCCGCCUGGGGAGUACGGCCGCAAGGCUAAAACUCAAAGGAAUUGACGGGGCCCCGCACAAGCGGCGGAGCAUGCGGAUUAAUUCGAUGCAACGCGUAGAACCUUACCUGGGUUUGACAUGGAUCGGGAGUGCUCAGAGAUGGGUGUGCCUCUUUUGGGGUCGGUUCACAGGUGGUGCAUGGCUGUCGUCAGCUCGUGUCGUGAGAUGUUGGGUUAAGUCCCGCAACGAGCGCAACCCUUGUUCACUGUUGCCAGCACGUUAUGGUGGGGACUCAGUGGAGACCGCCGGGGUCAACUCGGAGGAAGGUGGGGAUGACGUCAAGUCAUCAUGCCCCUUAUGUCCAGGGCUUCACGCAUGCUACAAUGGCUGGUACAGAGAGUGGCGAGACCUGUGAGCGGUGAGCUGAAUCUUCGGAAACGCCGGUCUCAGUUCGGAUUGGGGCCUGCAACUCGACCUCAUGAAGUCGGAGUCGCUAGUAAUCGCAGAUCAGCAACGCUGCGGUGAAUACGUUCCCGGGGCU